UUGAUUUAAAUGUACUAUUAAAAUUACUUGAUUUAGAAAAAUCCUCCCAUGUUAGAAAGAGUAAAGGAUCCAAACAGUUGUGUGUUUAAUGGUCCAACCAUGUCAACUGGACUGGCAGGCCAUUAUAUUGUUGG
Etheostoma spectabile (orangethroat darter) is the source of this 134-nucleotide long non-coding RNA. RefSeq lists it as uncharacterized. NCBI's taxonomy places the organism in Eukaryota, Metazoa, Chordata, Actinopteri, Perciformes, Percidae. The record is from RefSeq and is a predicted model, not a curated record. The transcript is spliced from 3 exons.